CCUACGGGAUGCAGCAGUGGGGAAUAUUGGACAAUGGGCGAAAGCCUGAUCCAGCCAUGCCGCGUGUGUGAAGAAGGCCUUCGGGUUGUAAAGCACUUUCAGUGGGGAAGAAAGCCUUGGGGCUAAUACCCUCGAGGAAGGACAUCACCCACAGAAGAAGCACCGGCUAACUCCGUGCCAGCAGCCGCGGUAAUACGGAGGGUGCGAGCGUUAAUCGGAAUUACUGGGCGUAAAGCGCGCGUAGGCGGUCUGAUAAGCCGGUUGUGAAAGCCCCGGGCUCAACCUGGGAACGGCAUCCGGAACUGUCAGGCUAGAGUGCAGUAGAGGAAGGUAGAAUUCCCGGUGUAGCGGUGAAAUGCGUAGAGAUCGGGAGGAAUACCAGUGGCGAAGGCGGCCUUCUGGACUGACACUGACGCUGAGGUGCGAAAGCGUGGGUAGCAAACAGGAUUAGAUACCCCAGUAGUC
RNAcentral lists this ribosomal RNA (465 nucleotides) under Vreelandella stevensii. RNAcentral's name for it is "partial 16S ribosomal RNA". It matches the Rfam family "Bacterial small subunit ribosomal RNA", at positions 338 to 795 of the family's 1533-position model. Lineage: Bacteria; Pseudomonadati; Pseudomonadota; Gammaproteobacteria; Oceanospirillales; Halomonadaceae. The record is from RNAcentral.